GUGUAAGUUGACAAGGCGCGCAUUUUCCAUUGAACUAUGCAUUGAAAAUGAAUUUGUCGGAGCCGGUGAACGCCUCCCAGACCCCGCCUCUCAACUUUGUCCUCCCUCUGUGUACUUUUUGUCUUCGAGCGUCUGGGUGUUAACUGCCAAGUUGAACUCUCUUAACAACAGGCCUUCGGUCAGAAGUGAAGGUCUUUUUUCCCCCCGCUCUUCACACUCCCCAAAUUUUUUUUCCCCCUCGGUACAGGUGGAUUCUGCAUCCGCAGUGGCAGCAUGUCUCCUUCCACAUCCCCCCGGUUCUUCACGGAGAGGGAGGUGACCCGCCACUGUACUAAGGACUCAUGUUGGGUGCUACUCGGAUCCCGGGUUUUCGACGUGACAGCCUUCUUGCGGAUGCACCCGGGAGGGGAAGCGCUGAUACUUAGCAGGUCGGGGAAAGACGUGAGCAGGGAGUUGGAGGGACCCCCGCAUCGACACUCGGAGAACGCCCGACGGUGGAUGGAACAAUAUUACAUCGGAGAGUUGGACCGAGACAGCGACGACGUCACAGGGCAGCUUCAGAGUCUGAGGGAGAGGAGGAACUCCACUAAACAGACAGAAGAAAAAACAGCGCAAGUAACGCAGAAAGAUGACGACCAGAAUGCCCCACACAAUCUCUGCAGCUGUGUGGACCUCGAAAACGAUUUGGUGGACUGGAGGAAGCCCCUGGCAUGGCAGGUAGGCCACUUAGGAGAGAAAUAUGAUGCCUGGGUUCACCAGCCAGUCGACAGGCCCAUCAGACUGUUUGGAAACCCUUUCCUUGAGGCCAGCACCAAGACUUCCUGGUACUGGGUGCCAGUGGUGUGGCUUCCUAUUGUGUGUUAUCUUAGUUGGUCUUGCUUCACCACCCUGGCAAAGGGCACAACCAGAAUACCCUUCACCUCAGACUUCUCUGUCUUGGUCCACAAGUACACUUUCCCACUGCUCUUCAUGACUGGCUGGUUCUUGUGGUCAUUCAUCGAGUACUGCAUCCAUCGCUUUGUCUUCCACAUGAAACCACCAGCUCAUAACUACUACCUCAUCAUGCUACACUUUCUCCUGCAUGGACAGCAUCACAAGUCUCCAUUCGACGGGUCUCGGCUGGUCUUUCCACCCGGAUUGGCCUCCGUCGUGGUUGGACUUUUCUACACGAUCCUCAAUAACCUGCUGCCGGAUAUUGUGGGCAUGUCCGUAUUUGUCGGGGGACUGUGCGGCUACGUCGUGUACGAUAUGAUCCACUACUACCUCCACUACGGAUCGCCCAAGAAAGGUUCUUACAUGUACAGCUUGAAGGCCUACCACGUCAAACACCACUUUGAGCACCAGAGAUCAGGUUUUGGAAUCAGCACCGCAUUUUGGGACCACCCCUUCAACACAGUCAUCCCUGAUGAGAAAUUCUAAUCGUGAAGGCCUCCAGUACAGGGCCAAAAGUACUUAUCAAGAACCCUCCUGUUAUGUCUUACACAAACCAGACAGCCCAGUUCCGCCAAAACGGAGGAUACAGCUUUGCCUCCGCCGCUAUCCGUCCACACUUUCGCUAUUUCAUCUUGCAUUCGCAUUCCCGUCAGCGCCACAUUCCUUCUUUCUGUGCGUGUUGCUGUGCGCUUGACCUCACUGUUGCAAGGCAUCGCUCUGCCCAAACCAAAUCACCCGCCGUUGCUGCUCCCUUAACCACACUGACGUCCCCCUUGUCAGAUCACUCGAGUUAGCCCUGCAACGAGAUGCAUCUGUGAGGCGAUUGAAACGCAAUUCAAACACGGCAUUACUCGGCCAUCGGGCCCGUCGACUAUUCCAUCGAUUACUUACGUCAACAACACCCGUGCGCGUCAAUGCCCGGUUCAUUUUUUGUUUUUGUUUUUUUUUUGCGUAUGUUAAGUCUCGGAUAAACCGAGUUUGGUGGGAGGGGAUCCAAAAACGUAGCCAACAACAAGGUCUCCGUAGGGAAAAUGACAAUUUAAUGUCUCAAUCGCACCGAAAAUAAGGCGAGAACAUAAAGCGCUGGUCCACAAUAAGGACCGGGAGGCAAAUCCAAACGAGUCACAAAAAGUGCAAGGAAGAAAAACAAAGACCGCAAAAUACCAACGAAAAACAAUGUAACACGCACAAAAAGCCAGAUCAUCAAAACAAAACGGUACUUACUCAAAAAUGGGUACCGAGAACUAUAACGCGAAAUCAUGACGAGGUCAAAAGCCAAUAAGUCAAAGAAUGGCGAACAUAGCAAUGCCAUAGACAAUACUCCCACAACGGGUGAAUGGCGGAGGAGUCCUUAAAUGCUGAGUCUGAAGAUUCCAGAUUGGCAGCAGGUGUGCCAGAAUGUCCGCUCAUGCCACCUGCUGGCCAGACCGGGCAGCAGGCGUGCCAGAAUGUCCGCUCAUGCCACCUGCUGGCCAGACCGGGCAGCAGGCGUGCCAGAAUGUCCGCUCAUGCCACCUGCUGGCCAGACCGGGCAGCAGGCGUGCCAGAAUGUCCGCUCAUGCCACCUGCUGGCCAGACCGGGCAGCAGGUGUGCCAGAAUGUCCGCUCAUGCCACCUGCUGGCCAGACCGCAAAACCGAAACGUGACACCGUAAAAUUUUUGACAGUGAUGAGCAUCCACCUACAAAAAAAAAACGUCUCGCCAAGGUUGAUAUAUAUUAUCACUUAAAAGUAGACAAUAUGUUUAUUAAUUCAUAUUAAUUCAAUUCAAUUCAUAUUAAUUUUCAUAGAAGCCAUUGUCUGCAGGUGCGCACUCUGUCUCGCUGGCUCGAGUGCCUCUGCUCCGUUGGCCCACAGUUGAUGUGAGGAGAAGCGGCCGCGUCUGCCAUGCUUGCCCCCCCCCCCCCCCCCCCGUCCGUUCUUUAUUUCCCACAAUAAUCGCCUCACUUCACACUCACAUUCAUCACCGCUCAGCGUUUCGCGAUGAGACCGGACAGGAAGCUACGCUAAGCUAAGUUAGCCGAAGAGGCUUUAAACACGCACCAAGCGGUCAUGACAAUUCAGUGGAAAGUCAAGUGAUGUGGCAGUCAAGUGAUGUGACGAAGAUGACGUUUGUUCAGUGUUAAUUUACUUCAAAACACCAAUUUAACGCCGGAUUGUUAGCUCGAAAGAGUAUCAAGCGGCCACCGGCAAGUCAUCACGCAGGUCACAUUGCCGCGUUCAAGUCUUCAGUCUCGGCCAGCUCCGCUUUGCGGCAAUUGAUCAAAUCUUAUUUUUCUCCCUUUUCACUCUCAAGGGACCACAAAGCCUUUGGUAUCUUCAUCUGCAUGAACACGUUGCCCGAAAGGAGCGUCCGCAGCUACAAAUGUCGGCGCAGAGACACAAAAUUGGCCAAACAUCGGUUCCGCGUGCCGCAAAUAUGAAUUUUAAAAUGACUAAAAACAGUUUGGAGACAUGCGUUUCUGAUUCCACCGAAUGAUGUAGUUUGUCGACUUAUUUUUUUCCCGCCGGACCGACGCAUCUAUCGGCGCAGAGUUCAUUUAAUCAAAACCACUGCGGACACAACAACAACAACAACAACAACAAAUCACGAACCGUCAUUGUCCUUCUCAUUCUUCUCCCAAUGGUGGAAAACUUAUCCAUCCGUUUGGAUGAAAUGCAAGUAACAUUAUUCUCUUGAGUACAAAGUUUAUUCAUAGUGUUGACUUUAAAUGUUGGAAAGUGUCAGUGCAUUGUAUUUUUUUAAGGCUGUUAAUCCCCCCCCCCGCGCCCCCAUUUUCUCUCUUUUGUCAAUAAUGAUGCUUCAACAAUGUAAAAAAAAAAUUUUUUUUAAAUCAUGUUUUAUAAGAUGCUUUGUACAGCAAAUUCUUAGAUAGCUCCAGCAUGACAUCAUCCGAAAAAGAGAUCAGCAUUUUUUCACCAAUUUAGAAAUCGAUGGAUGAUGUCAACAUACGUGCCAGAGGAAGAGUGAAGGAAUGAGCUCCCGGGAGGAUGACGAUGGAGCGACUGUCUGACUGAGCAGCAGGAAGUUUCGAUAGCUGACGGAGCUUCAAGCGUCCCCCUCUUGGGCACCGUUGAUUACCAAUGCAGAACAAACCAUUGACACGAAAUAGAUUUUGACUUAAGAGAACAGUUACUUCAAGGGUAUCCACUCGUUGGCAGAAUGACUAAAAUUUUACGAAAUACGCACGUGCGUAAAACAGAAAAGAACAUGCACAUUAUAUUCACGCUUUUUUUUUUUUUUUUACCAUUUUCACCAAUUUUUAAUAGAUGAAAAACGUCAAUAAUUGUGGACUAGCAGUUUUUGUAUUCCAAACAGCUGCACUAACUCUCAGUCUGUGAUAAUGAGGCGGCUGUGUCACUGAAACACCAACGUAUCCCACCCUGUAUUCGCAGAGUUGGCAACAUAUAUUUUCUUCAUAUCACGUGUCAGUACUGUAAGAGAAAUAUGAUCAUAUUCAUGAAUGUCCAAUGCAUGAAGAAAGCCUUGAUAUGAAUUUCAAGCACACAUAUGUUCAUACGUAAACCAUUUAGACAGUGGCGAUGAUGAUGAUGAUGAUGAUGAUGAGUGUACCAGUCGAGGUUGUGCACAGGUCAUGCUUGUUGGAAUAAAGUAUAAACAAAUAAUGAUAUUUAUUUGAUCAACAUACAGCUUGAUUCUAGCAAUGGAUAUUGUGCUUAAUAUUGACAAAAUUAUGCAUAUUUCCCUCAUUUGUUUUCAUGUCUCAUACAUUUUAUGUUGCAAUUUUAAAUUUCUAUGAAAAAUGUAUUUGUAAAUAAAUGUCUACAUUUCUGAUGUUA
Molecule: RNA transcript, 4733 nt
Organism: Hippocampus zosterae (dwarf seahorse)
Lineage: Eukaryota; Metazoa; Chordata; Actinopteri; Syngnathiformes; Syngnathidae
Gene: fa2h
Gene name: fatty acid 2-hydroxylase
Exons: 8
Source: RefSeq, a predicted model, not a curated record